This 449-nucleotide long non-coding RNA is filed under the name Astyanax mexicanus (Mexican tetra). RNAcentral describes it as "lncRNA (ENSAMXG00005001117.1)". The record is from RNAcentral. Lineage: Eukaryota; Metazoa; Chordata; Actinopteri; Characiformes; Acestrorhamphidae.
GCUGCUGCAGUUGCUGGUUAUUACCGCUAGGAGACGGGGUGGCGCUGUCUGUGCUCUAAGUGCUCAGCAGCCUGGGCUCCGCAGGCAGGUUUUCCCUCAGAGCUGAUCAGGGAACAGCGGCGGCCGCGGGUGAUUUACCUCAGCGCUUCAGCCCUGUUUUAGAGAUUUACCUAAGCUGAUAUUGAUGGGAUUUCUAUGGAACGGCCUUUGAUUUUCUCCACUUGGGAUCCAUAAGAUAAAACCUGCAAUUUGACCUUCCUGACAUCAUUUUGAGGAAGUGACAUUAUCAAAGUCUCUGCAUGACCACCACGGGGCUUGAAUUAAGUGGAGUGUGUAUGUUUUUCUGUCUUUCUCUCUACUGUAUUCUCUACAGGUCAUGUUAACUGAAGAAACACUGCAUUUGGGGUUUGGCUGUGCUUAUCAUCCAAUCCAGGGUGCAGCUGGAUGCU